This 72-nucleotide transfer RNA is filed under the name Desulfatibacillum alkenivorans AK-01. It matches the Rfam family "tRNA". From Rfam's summary of the family: Transfer RNA (tRNA) molecules are approximately 80 nucleotides in length. Their secondary structure includes four short double-helical elements and three loops (D, anti-codon, and T loops). The record is from Rfam by way of RNAcentral. Lineage: Bacteria; Pseudomonadati; Thermodesulfobacteriota; Desulfobacteria; Desulfobacterales; Desulfatibacillaceae.
UCCUGGGUAUCUCAGCGGUAGAGAAUUCGCCUCAUAAGCGAGUCGUCGCUGGUUCGAAUCCAGCCCCAGGAA